Molecule: long non-coding RNA, 1602 nt
Filed under: Mus musculus (house mouse)
Lineage: Eukaryota; Metazoa; Chordata; Mammalia; Rodentia; Muridae
Description: predicted gene, 33195, transcript variant 6 (Gm33195)
Source: RNAcentral
AGUGCUUUCCUGCGGACGUGCGCUGCUGCCCAGCCUCAGGCUCCAGUCCUGCGCUGGCUGCUGCUGGCUGUCGUCAGCGAUGCCGCCGCCGGCCACAAGGUGGCAGUGCCGUGCUGCGUGGCUACACGCCCCUGGAAGCACCGGACCAGCCUUGGUCUGGCAAAAGUUUUCCAGUCUUUCCAGCAGAUGCGCCCAGGCCGUGAGCCCUCCCGGGCGGCCUGGAGGCAAGGGAUCGGGUGGGGGUGGGGUAGCCGCCGAUGUCCUGGGUGGCUUUGGGGGCGAUUUGCAAAGGCAUGCAUUUGUUGUUAAGAGCUCGGAGAAACAGUUUGGGGGAGCCUGUCACAGAUGCAAAGUCUGUUGAUAUUUCCAGGAGUGUUUGGUUUGGUUUGGGCUUUAGGGACCUACAGCAAGCAUCGAUUCUCGUGGAGGCGAACAACACUGACAGCUACUCUUUGUCUCUCGUCGGGAUUCUGAACAGAGCCCGACGUCGCUUCCAUUUCAGAGAUAUAUGCCGCUGACACUACCUUGAGAGAGCUCCUGCCUCCAUGGUUCCUGACCUGCCUAGAAGGGGAGGGCGCAGGAGACUCUUGUUCUACAGCUGUCCUCGGGAUGCCCUCAAUUCCCAGGCGCAGGGAUAAGCUUGUCUGACCCCAUUUGACCCCGCCGCAGGCGCCAGGCGUCCUCAUUUAUUGCGAGGCCUAAGAGUCCUCAAGGCUUACUGCCUGCCUACCCCCCUCCCCCACCACCCGCCGCUCUUCGUUUUUUGGUGUUUUGUUUUGUUUUGUUUUGUUUUUCCUCUCCUUGUCCUGUGCGGGAAUCAUAUGCCUCCUUCCUGUUGUCUAAGCUCCCCUCUUCCGUAGGCACAAACCUGCCCCCUCUGCGUUUUUUACCUUAAAACAGGUGUUCUGAGGAUUGUCUCUAGUUCUGGCGACGUCUUGAAAGAACUGAGUCUGAGCGAGGCAGACAGACGGCAGCAUUAGUGGUGAUGGAGCUGCACUGCUAAAUGUGGAGAUGGGAGGGGAAACACACCUGGGCUUCCACAGGGCAGGAGAAGAUCUGUCACUUGGGCAGAGCCUUUGAGUCGCACUCAGGUGAUCUCCAGGUCUACACUCUCCCACCUGUGCUCCGAGGAGAGGUGUAGACUAUCUCUUGGAUUUUGCUUGGAGGAUGUCCUUUCCGGACUCAGGACCUAGGAGAGACCAGCAGGAAACAGAACAGAGUCUACAUAGGUGAAUAUCAAAGAAUCACCUGGAGAGAUUUACAGAUGUUUGUAGCUGGAGCCUACUCACCUACAGAGACCUCCUACAGAGGGGCUCUGCCCUGGCCUUUUGGGAUUCAGAGCUGAGGCGGGACACAGAGUUCGACAAAGCCAGAAGACUGAUAAUCUCAGACCUAACUGUACUGGGAGCUGGGAGCUGGGAGCUGUUGGCUUCAGGAAACUUAACCCUCUCUUGUUUAUUCUAUGGCCGAAAACUGCUGACUUCUUUUCGCUUUAACUCUGUGCUCUGGAGAAACUUAACUCUUUGUGCUUAAAUAAGCACUGGGGGUCACUUAACUCUUUGUUACUAUUCUGUGCUUUAAUAAACGCUGAGCAUUCUUCAA